AGAGUUUGAUCCUGGCUCAGGACGAACGCUGGCGGCGUGCCUAAUACAUGCAAGUCGAGCGGACUUUAAAAGCUUGCUUUUAAAGUUAGCGGCGGACGGGUGAGUAACACGUGGGCAACCUGCCUGUAAGACUGGGAUAACUUCGGGAAACCGGAGCUAAUACCGGAUAAUCCUUUUCUACUCAUGUAGAAAAGCUGAAAGACGGCAUCUCGCUGUCACUUACAGAUGGGCCCGCGGCGCAUUAGCUAGUUGGUGAGGUAACGGCUCACCAAGGCAACGAUGCGUAGCCGACCUGAGAGGGUGAUCGGCCACACUGGGACUGAGACACGGCCCAGACUCCUACGGGAGGCAGCAGUAGGGAAUCUUCCGCAAUGGACGAAAGUCUGACGGAGCAACGCCGCGUGAGUGAUGAAGGUUUUCGGAUCGUAAAACCCUGUUGUUAGGGAAGAAUAAGUACAAGAGUAACUGCUUGUACCUUGACGGUACCUAACCAGAAAGCCACGGCUAACUACGUGCCAGCAGCCGCGGUAAUACGUAGGUGGCAAGCGUUGUCCGGAAUUAUUGGGCGUAAAGCGCGCGCAGGCGGUCCUUUAAGUCUGAUGUGAAAGCCCACGGCUCAACCGUGGAGGGUCAUUGGAAACUGGGGGACUUGAGUGCAGAAGAGAAGAGUGGAAUUCCACGUGUAGCGGUGAAAUGCGUAGAGAUGUGGAGGAACACCAGUGGCGACGACUCGGUCUGUAACUGACGCUGAGGCGCGAAAGCGUGGGGAGCAAACAGGAGUAGAUACCCUGGUAGUCCACGCCGUAAACGAUGAGUAAGUGUUAGAGGGUUUCCGCUAGUGCUGCAGCAAACGCAUUAAGCACUCCGCCUGGGGAGUACGGCCGCAAGGCUGAAACUCAAAGGAAUUGACGGGGGCCCGCACAAGCGGUGGAGCAUGUGGUUUAAUUCGAAGCAACGCGAAGAACCUUACCAGGUCUUGACAUCCUCUGACACUCCUAGAGAUAGGACGUUCCCCUUCGGGGGACAGAGUGACAGGUGGUGCAUGGUUGUCGUCAGCUCGUGUCGUGAGAUGUUGGGUUAAGUCCCGCAACGAGCGCAACCCUUGAUCUUAGUUGCCAGCAUUUAGUUGGGCACUCUAAGGUGACUGCCGGUGACAAACCGGAGGAAGGUGGGGAUGACGUCAAAUCAUCAUGCCCCUUAUGACCUGGGCUACACACGUGCUACAAUGGAUGGUACAAAGGGAAGCAAAGCGGUGACGCCUAGCAAAUCCCAUAAAACCAUUCUCAGUUCGGAUUGUAGGCUGCAACUCGCCUACACGAAGCUGGAAUCGCUAGUAAUCGCGGAUCAGCAUGCCGCGGUGAAUACGUUCCCGGGCCUUGUACACACCACCCGUCACACCACGAGAGUUUGUAACACCCGAAGUCGGUGGGGUAACCGUAAGGAGCCAGCCGCCUAAGGUGGGAUAGAUGAUUGGGGUGAAGUCGUAACAAGGUAACC
RNAcentral lists this ribosomal RNA (1497 nucleotides) under Bacillus sp. EE1(2012). RNAcentral describes it as "bacterial SSU rRNA". It matches the Rfam family "Bacterial small subunit ribosomal RNA". Lineage: Bacteria; Bacillati; Bacillota; Bacilli; Caryophanales; Bacillaceae. The record is from RNAcentral.